Molecule: long non-coding RNA, 3787 nt
Organism: Cyprinus carpio carpio
Lineage: Eukaryota; Metazoa; Chordata; Actinopteri; Cypriniformes; Cyprinidae
Source: Ensembl
CUCAUUAAGACAUUGAAUUUUAGCUGCUUGGAUAAUUCACAUCUUGUGCUGAAAGGUGAAAAGGGUAGUUGUGUUCUUCUAACACAAGAAUGCCCUGCAGGGGUCACUUAUGUUGAGGCAAUGAGGCUCGUAAUGUUGUUUAUCCUCAGCUGAGUUGUUUACUGGCACAUCAUGUAGAUAUUCUUUUCACUUGAGUGUAUUAUUGUGGAUUCCUUGUUUCAGUUGCAGCCCCGAAGAGAAAUCCUAAUGACUUAUCCUAUAUUUUUAACAGUUGUGGAUGACCUUUGAAAAAGCCUAAAAUGAAGAGGGACACAGUUUUUGUUUUAUCCAGCUGUAUUUACUCAGUGCAACUUAUAACACCCAAGUGAAAAAAAGGGCUGUAAAAAGGAUCACCCCCCUCAAAAAUUACUUGUGAACUCAAUCAGGUGCAGCUUAUCACCUUCUCAAUGGCACACAAAGCCAUUUGACAUUCAGCUGUGGUCAUUUUGAUCAACUCAACAUGAAAAGGGCUUUCCUGGAGCAUUUCAGUUCUUGGUAGUGCAAGUGAAGCAAACAAUCAACUCUGAAUGAAAAGAUCUCUGGAAUAAAGUUGUGGAUGGACACAAGUCAGGAGAUGGAUACAAAAAAAAUGUCAAAGGCUUUAUCAAUGCCUAGAAGCCCAGUGAAGUCUGUUAUUAAGAAGUGGAAGGUAUUUGGUACAGACCCUCCCUGGAUCAGGAUGUCGCUCCAAACUGGAUGAAAGAGUCAGGAGGAAACAGAGAGGUAACCAACAGCAACUCUGAAGCAGCUGCAGGAAUUUGACAAAUGUCCCUUUCACACACAGUCUUUACUGAUAAAUAACCAGUAAAUACCAUUAAGAAAUCGUGUGUGAACAGGACCUUUUCAAAAUACUGGUAAAUUUGUUAAGGCAAUUUAGCGGUAUGGGAAGUUGUAACAUUACCGGUAAUGCGCUCUGUGUGUACGCAGAAUGAGAUUACCAGUAUGAACACGUACGAGUUUAGAACGCACUGACGUAAGACGUCUACUCUGGACCAAUCAUUACAUUCUGACGCAGAUGAUGCAUUUACUCUGCACUGUGUAGUUUGGUUUGAAGUCAUCUAAUACGAUGUUUCUGGGCCAAAAACAACUGCAUGAAUGUGAACAUUUGACACAAGACUGAAAAAGUAAAAUGUUAAAAAAAUGUUUACAAACAGAACACCGGGAGGUGCAGCCAUUUAGGAGUCAAUUCCAGUUAAUGAUGUCACAGAAUUUACUGGUAUUUUGAAACUGAUGUGUGAAUGGCGUUUUACCGGAAAAAAAGACGGAACGUCGUUGCCUGUGUGAACAGCACAUCUUUGUAUUUACCAGUAAAGUCGUUAUGAUAAUUUUACAGCAAUUUACCAGUAUUGCUGUGUGAAAGAGGCUAAAGAGUGGUCAUUGAGUGCAUGUGAUUUCAGAAAAUGUGUCUAUUUUUUUCUAGAAGGCUGCCAUGAAUUAAUGAAUCCAGCUUUCCCAUGAUGUAAACCCAAUGUUCAGGCCCUUUCAGUAUAAACAAUCCUGGGCUCGUCUUCGGUGAAUCUCAUGACCUUCCAUAAAGUCACAAUGUCCUGGACUACAGUCACUGCUAGCUCACUUUACUAAGCACUACAGUAUACCACAAUAACCUCAGUUUUGUAGAAUAAUAAUAUGCAGUUAUGCUCAUGGUUCAGACUCAGCUGAGUUGGUUUUUAGGCAGUGGGUAAUGGGUGCAGGGUUUGAAAUGUUAGGAUGAAUGAGUUCAUCAAUACAAGUUAAAUAAAGUGCUGAUGGUGAGCUGUCUGGUGAGUAAUGCUGCUACCUGACCUCAGUCUGAAUAGAUAUAAUCUCUUUCACUCUCUCUUGCAAACACACAAUGAUGGCUUUGGAAUUUAUUGCAUAAGUGCAAAUAAUGAAAUCACAACAGAUUACCGAUAAAUAAAGGGUAACAGGAGGCCUCAGUAGUUUUUGGAACAGUGUGUUUUAUGCAUCUCAGUUCCAUUCUUAUUUCUUUAAGAAAAGAUUUGUGGACUUUGUGACGUUUGUGCGACAUCUUCAUGUAACUGCUAGUUUUACAAUUGCCCCAAAAACAUUUGGAUCCUUUGGGUCCCACACUUUAUAAAUGACAUUGCAUUAUAUAACAAAAUAUCAAUUUGAGUGGCAUUUAUACAAAAGAAAAAUAGCACAAGCAAAAUGUUUGGACUUUAUUUUUUUGAUAACUCAGAGGCCAAAUAAAAAUGUAAUUGCCUCUUCAUUUCAGACAAAAUAAAACUAAGAGGAUAAACGAAACUUUUUAAUGCACUAUUUGGUGCGUUUGCUGUAAUUCUUAAGAUGCUCUGUGUUAAAAUAAUGUCAGCAGUUCACAGGCACACCCUCCAAUCCACUUGCCGUGUUUGUUUUAGCUGUUCACAUCCUGUGUAUCGUCCAUAUUUCUUCAUCUCUUUGUGGGUGUUUCUUCCUUCAUUCUGAGACAAAAUGUUAUUUCUAUGGGGCCCCAGACAUAGUUGGAGAAAGAGGACAAAAUUUAAAUGGGGAAAAGCUCAAAAUACUUAAUGAUUAACUAGUUUUCUGUUAAACAAUGAAUAGGUGGAAAGCUGUGCAGUCACAUUUAUGUUACUCCUGAAAGUCUCAUUAUUACCACUGCAGGCAUGCAACACAAGAUAAACAGACAUGUUGUUUCUUAAAAAACUACCAAAAAAAAUAAAUCUAUUAUGAAAGUCUGUGAAACAGUGACUAUUGUACACACCAUUUCUGAAACAUCUGGCAGUGAUACACAAAAACCACAGUCAUAUUGAUCCUCAUUCAAUUAGUUUUGCUCAUGGUGAUAAACUUUAGAUGAGCAGUAUCUUGACAAGAUGUUAUGUGUGUUUGAGCCUGUAAUGACACCAGAGAAAAGAAUGAGAAGUCCUUUCACAGAGCAUGCUCUCUGCUAAUGGUGGCAAACAGUUAAUCAUGAUGUUUUUGACUAUUUAUGGUCUUAAAGCUGCCUAGUGCCACUGUUUGAUAAGGACAAAUGCACAUGUCCUGUCAUGCACCCUCUCUGCAGUGGAUUCCUCCUUCUGCUGGUGCCUUUUCCAGCAUCACUGCUGGUUAAACCGUCUAGAGACUUUAUAAGCUUUAAGUUAGUAACCCUAUAGAUAGUGCUACCAUGCAUUCAGAUAAUAUUCAAACCCUUGAAUAUUUUUCACAUUUUAUGUUGCAACCUUAUGCUAAAAUGCUUUAAAUUAUUUUUUUUUUUCAACAUCGGUCUACACUACACACUCCAUAAUAGAAAAGCAAAAACAAGAUUUGUGAUAACUUUGCAAAUUUAGUAUUUAAGUAUUCAGACCCUGGACUUGAACUAAAUCAAUCCUCUCUGGAGAGAGCUAAUGUCUUUUGACCAGUGGUCCCCAUCCAACCUGAAUGAGCUAGAGAGGAACAUAAUUUAAUACUGAUCCACUUAUGAAAUAAAUUCUGAAUUAUUUUUCAUGUACAGUGUGCUCACCUGUAAAAUGAAGUGUGCUUUUAUGCUGCACAGGGCCGGACUCAGAGGUGUAUGUGGCCACACAAGUGAGCUCACUGAUGAUGAGAUUUUCCGGCAGAUAUACUUGAUUCUCCAGCAUAAAAAACUUGCCAAGCUUCUUGACAGAACUGAUGUUGGAGGAAAAGUUCAAGGCAGGUUCCCAAUGAAGAGUGGGCGCUUUCAUUUUAUAUGUAGAUUUACAGACAGCAAUCCUUUGAUUGUUUUUGUUGUACUGCCAGGUGGAAACGUUGGUAACUAAAAACAAAUAAUUUUAAUUGAAUUUGAUAAUCA